CAGGGUGACAGCCCCGUACACAAAAAUGCACAUACUGUGAGCUCGAUGAGUAGGGCGGGACACGUGGUAUCCUGUCUGAAUAUGGGGGGACCAUCCUCCAAGGCUAAAUACUCCUGACUGACCGAUAGUGAACCAGUACCGUGAGGGAAAGGCGAAAAGAACCCCGGCGAGGGGAGUGAAAAAGAACCUGAAACCGUGUACGUACAAGCAGUGGGAGCCUCUUAAUGGGGUGACUGCGUACCUUUUGUAUAAUGGGUCAGCGACUUAUAUUCUGUAGCAAGGUUAACCGAAUAGGGGAGCCGAAGGGAAACCGAGUCUUAACUGGGCGUUAAGUUGCAGGGUAUAGACCCGAAACCCGGUGAUCUAGCCAUGGGCAGGUUGAAGGUUGGGUAACACUAACUGGAGGACCGAACCGACUAAUGUUGAAAAAUUAGCGGAUGACUUGUGGCUGGGGGUGAAAGGCCAAUCAAACCGGGAGAUAGCUGGUUCUCCCCGAAAGCUAUUUAGGUAGCGCCUCGUGAAUUCAUCUCCGGGGGUAGAGCACUGUUUCGGCAAGGGGGUCAUCCCGACUUACCAACCCGAUGCAAACUGCGAAUACCGGAGAAUGUUAUCACGGGAGACACACGGCGGGUGCUAACGUCCGUCGUGAAGAGGGAAACAACCCAGACCGCCAGCUAAGGUCCCAAAGUCAUGGUUAAGUGGGAAACGAUGUGGGAAGGCCCAGACAGCCAGGAUGUUGGCUUAGAAGCAGCCAUCAUUUAAAGAAAGCGUAAUAGCUCACUGGUCGAGUCGGCCUGCGCGGAAGAUGUAACGGGGCUAAACCAUGCACCGAAGCUGCGGCAGCGACACUAUGUGUUGUUGGGUAGGGGAGCGUUCUGUAAGCCUGUGAAGGUGUACUGUGAGGUAUGCUGGAGGUAUCAGAAGUGCGAAUGCUGACAUAAGUAACGAUAAAGCGGGUGAAAAGCCCGCUCGCCGGAAGACCAAGGGUUCCUGUCCAACGUUAAUCGGGGCAGGGUGAGUCGACCCCUAAGGCGAGGCCGAAAGGCGUAGUCGAUGGGAAACAGGUUAAUAUUCCUGUACUUGGUGUUACUGCGAAGGGGGGACGGAGAAGGCUAUGUUGGCCGGGCGACGGUUGUC
This 1137-nucleotide ribosomal RNA is filed under the name Escherichia coli. RNAcentral's name for it is "partial 23S ribosomal RNA". It matches the Rfam family "Bacterial large subunit ribosomal RNA", at positions 360 to 1506 of the family's 2925-position model. The record is from RNAcentral. Lineage: Bacteria; Pseudomonadati; Pseudomonadota; Gammaproteobacteria; Enterobacterales; Enterobacteriaceae.